This is an RNA transcript of Capsicum annuum, 957 nucleotides long. It is a transcript of the gene named G2/mitotic-specific cyclin-1, with no coding region annotated. The transcript is spliced from 6 exons. NCBI's taxonomy places the organism in Eukaryota, Viridiplantae, Streptophyta, Magnoliopsida, Solanales, Solanaceae. The record is from RefSeq and is a predicted model, not a curated record.
AUGAUGCAGAAUGAAGGGAGGAAGGAAAGGCAGAAAUUAUGCCUGGUGUCCUCUUCAUUGACGAAAUGCCAAGAGGAGGAUGUAGAAAUAUCGGAGGAUGCAAGAGUUCUAUUGACCAAGAUCGGGGUGAAUACCUCUUUGAGAUACACCAUCCACCUUAUCACUUCUGCAGCAUUGGCUUGCCAAAAAUGGAAAGGGAAGGUUGUGGAAGUGGAAGACAUUACUCGAGUCUAUAAUCUGUUUUAUGAUAUGAAGAGAUCCACACAGUACUUGAUGGAGUAUCAGAGCCAUUACAUGUUUAAAGAAAUAUCAGCAGGAGAGGCCGAAGAAGAUGAAACUACUGCAAUGGUAAGAUGUUCAGUUCUUCCCUUCCAGGAUGCAUGUGGUCUGAGUAAGAAGUCAAAGGAGCAGAUUGUGGACAUUGAUGCUGCAGAUGUGAACUAUGAAUUGGCAGUUUUGGAAUAUGUUGAAGACAUUUUCAGCUUCUACAAACUAGCUGAGAGUGAGACAAGAGUUCAUGACUAAUUGAUUCACAGCCUACCACAGGUUUGAGCUUAAUCCAGAAACUCUUUACCUCACAAUGUACAUUCUUGAUCGCUACCUCUCUGUGGAGACUGCAUCAAGAAGGGAACUGCAGUUGGUGGGCAUUAGUGCCAUGCUUAUAGCCUCUAAAUAUGAAGAAACUUGGGCUCCCAAGCUCAAUGACUUCAUGUGCAUCUCGGACAAAACUUACAGUCACGAGCAAGUGUUAACUAUGGAGAAACAAAUUCACGAGCAACUGAAAUGGUAUCUAAUAGUCCCAACACCUUAUGUGUUCCUCGUCCAUUCUAUCAAAGCUUCUUUACCUGAUUCAGAAUUUAGUUCUUUAAUUUGGGCUCCCGAGAUAAAAUAUGAAAGCCUUUUUCACCAUAUGAGAUGUUAAUGGAUAAAGCUAACAACUUUCUAAAUGUAGUAAUU